This 6458-nucleotide long non-coding RNA is filed under the name Sus scrofa (pig). Its description in RNAcentral is "lncRNA (ENSSSCG00060068868.1)". The record is from RNAcentral. Lineage: Eukaryota; Metazoa; Chordata; Mammalia; Artiodactyla; Suidae.
CCUCAGUCCUCCCCCUUGAGUUGGCGACUCUAAUCCUGGGGCGGGGGGCAGUGGGCGACGACUGCUCUGACUGCUUCCUGCUGACGAGGGGCAUCGUCAGGGGAAAGCAGUUAGGUCUCCACUCAUGGGACGGUCGAGUGGGCUUCAGGGCAUUGCACUGGGCACCCCUUCUAUCACCAUCUGAAGGCUGAUAGCUUCUAAUCGGGACGUAAUGAAGCGAGAAAUACAGUUAAUUAUACAGGGUCCGAAUGAAAGGAUCGUGGGCACAUGAAGAUUGUGGGGAGCAAGUGUUUCCACCAGGAGGAGGGGUCAGCCCGUUCCAGAGGCAGCUCCAAACGCCGGAGCUGGGUGGGACAGUUUAUGAAUCUGCUGCUGGAGAUCUAGCCGGGCAUCAGACACAUUGUCUGAAUAAUCAGGAAUAUAGACACAAUAUUCGGAUUUUAUCAUAGCACAGCUACCUCCUUGAGCUGCAGUGAGUAUAUCUAAGGCCAUUCGGUUUUGUAGCACUACUUCUCUUAUUUGUUGUUGUUCCAUAUUUAGGGUAGAAAUAGCUUCUGCAGUAUCAUUAAGAGCUUGUGGAGUAAAAUCAGUUAAGGCUUCCACCUGCAGCAUUAGGUCAGUGGUUCCUAGUGAAGGCGUGAAUGUCGUUGCUGAGGGCUCACACCCGUGGAACGCUGAUCUGGUCCAUUUAGCAGGUAAAGGGAGGGUCGGCUGGCGUUUGGCUCAGAGUUUUCAUAGGGUUGCCAUGAGCAAAAGCCAGUCCCAGAGCAGCGCCCUACCCAUCCUGGGGCAGCCACGGCCCCAGAUUAGUUCCACACAUCCAGUAAGUUCGUUCGGGGCUAGCAGUGUACUCGCCAGGAUUAGAUUCCCAGUCCGUUCCGGGCCACCUGGGAGUCUUGUCGGGAUUGUGUGUGACCUGGAUGAUUUGUAAACAAUGCUCUGUUGCUAAAUAGCCUAAAGCUUUUAGCUCAGUCGAGGAUGGGGGUCGUCCCCCAAUCAGACGUAGGGUUUAUUUUGCUCCCAGCAAAUAGAUGCGGGCUGGGUUAAAUAAUAAAAGGAGUGAUGCGCAUACAUUGAUCCCAUAUUUGAUGCACUUGAUUAAAAUAUCUAACCUGUAUGAUUUUUCGGAUGUCUCUGCUGGCCGUGCAGUGUUUGUAGGCCGUUUCCUUGGUCCGUGUGUAACUGAAAGUUACCCGAGGUUGUUCUCCAGCGUCCGCCCGGAGCAGAAUGUCGGCCACGGACGGAAUACCGUAAGCAGUUCGCCAACUCUCUGGCUACCGCCUGUGCGAGUGAAGGAGGCAGCUCCAAAUCCCCGAGGCAAAACAGUCCGAGUUAUGUUUCCUUGCCAAAAGCACUAUCCUCUGAGACCCGAGGCAUGGCGGGGACUUAUCCCAAUUAUAAGAACCCUAGAAGAACAGCGACUGUUCAUCGGAUGCAGCAGCCCCUGUACCAGGCGUGCAAAAGCCUGACGGGGUCGGCGCCUCGUGCAAGACCUACAGCUGGUAAAUGAGGCACUGGCCCCGUCACAUCCGGGUGCCCAACCCUGCACCCUCCUCUCACAGAUGCAGGCUGGGCCACUGUAUUAGAUUUAAAAGAUGCCUUCUUCUGCAUUCCCUUGGCGAAGGCUUCACAAUUUUUAUUUGCUUUGGAGGACACCGCAGACUCGUCCAUGUGACUGACUUGGACCAUUAUUUGUGUUUUCUUAAGGGGGGUAGUAGUUUCCCACCGGGUUUCACCAUGAAUAGUUAAGGGUCUCCUUAAAUAUUGUGUCACCUUCUAUAGCAGUUGGUUUAAUUCAUCUGUCUUCUAAAUCACAUUGAUUCAAAACCAUCUCUUGGAGGUCUCGUCAUGGCUCAGUGGUUAACGAAUCUGACUAGGAACCAUGAGGUUGCAGGUUUGAUCCCUGGGCUUGCUCAGGGGGUUAAGGAUCCGGCGUUGCCAUGUGCUGUGGUGUAGGUUGCAGAUGCAGCUGGGAAUCCCGCGUUGCUGUGCCACCGGCCUCUACCACAGCCACAGCCACGCGGGAUCCUUAACCCACUGAGCGAGACCUGGACAGAACCUGUGUCCUCAGGGAUGCGAGUCAGAUUCGUUUCUCCUGAGCAAUGAUGGGAACUUCUCCGUGUUUUUUCCUGGAGAUCAGGUGGAAACAUUUAGAAUCCAUGUGAAUUUAAUCCUGUCGUGUAGACUAAUGUCCUUCACGUUUUUUCGUCUUGAACAAGAGCCAUUGGUUUGUCAGGACAAUUUGAUGAGUUUUGUUUCCCUUUCACAACCGUGUGUCUACCACGCAAUCAGAACGUAGACCGUUUUCUUGGCUCCACCUCAUGGUCCUUUACAGGCAGUGCCCCCGUAUCCCUCAGCAGCCACUGGUGUGAUUUCUGUCACGAUAGGUUAAUUUUCCUUUUGUAGAACUCAUCAAAGUAGGAUUGUAUCGUGUGUACAUUUUCUUCCCGGCUUCGGCCUGCGUACUGCUUAGGGGCUCAUGCGUGUUGCUGUGAACGUCUGUAGUUCAUUUCUCUUUCUUGCUGGGUCGUGGUCCUCCCCUGUAUGAAUAUAUCAUAAUUUUGUCUAUCCACCCACCCAUCGAUGGACGUAUGGGCUGUUAUCUCAUUGGGGCUGUCAUGAAUAAAAAUGCACACCUAUGAAAACUUAAGACUCUCUUGGGCAAGUACCUAGGAAUGGAAUUGCUGGAUCCUAUAGCAAAUACAUGUUUAACUUUAUAAUAAGUUGCCAAAUUGUUUUUGAAGUGGUAGUAAUGUAUUGAUUUUUGAUUCAUACCUUUUGUAUUGAUUUUGUAGUUCCUGCUAUAACAAAUUACCAUAAAUUUAGUGAUUUGAAACAACACAUAUUUAUUGUUUUAUGGUCCUGGAAGUCUGAAGUACAAAAUGAGUCUUGAGGGUUGGGCAAAGUUGUUGUUGGCGUGGAUUUCCUGAUGGAGGCUCUGAGAGGUGAAUCUGUUUCCUUGCCUCUUCCAGCUUCUAGUGGUUGCGUACAUGCCUUGACUCACAAUCACCGUCCUACCUCUGUCUUUACAUCCUCCACUUUCCCUUCCAUCUCCUGCUGUCUUCUUCUAAGGACCCUAUGAUGACACCAGAUUUACCUGGAUAAUCCGUGAAAAUUUCUCGUCUCAAGAUGCCUAAAUUAAUCAUGUGUACUGAGUCCCUUUUGAUGUGUAAGGCCACAGAUUCUAGGAAUUAGGACCUAGACAUCUUGCUGGGCCAUUAUUCAGCCUACCAUACUCUCUAGCCUUCUAACCAAGUAAUUGCGAACAAAAUUUCUCCUUUACCCCAAACUUUAAGGUGCAUGCACAUUUUUUGCGUAACUUCCCUUGACUCAAUAACUGUUAGUAUUCGUGAGUUGGCAAAGAUGUAGGAUGUAGAAUCAGAGGAUCUUUAGGUCACUUAAAGGGGAUGAAAGUCCAAUUAGUCGAUGGGGAGAGUGCUAUCUAAGAGGGACCUGCUGGAGCUUUGGUGGCAACAGAAAGGGCCCUGCUUAUUUCCAUUCUUUGGAGUCUAAACCUCGUGGGGGGGCGGGGGAGAAAGUUCAGUCGAGUGUGUGGGGAUCUCACAGCAGAUGCGAGAGUGGUGUUGCCCCAGGGUACAGCCUUCAGGAUGCGAGUUACGGAGAAGCUCACAGGGCAGCAGUAUUCCUGAGUGGUGCAUUGACCCGCCGAAGACGACCCUAGUGGGGGAGACUCGGGCGAGGGGUAGACCAGUAAUCCUACGGGGAAAGAGGCUUAUCCACUGCUAACUAGAGGCAAUGACAGGAUAGACUAGGCUCCCAAGUUAGGACAGACAUCAAGAGACAAAGCAGUGCUCAAAGGCAAAAUGAACCGAACACAGCGUUGGCUAGUGAGAAUGGAGGCUCGCAUGCUUCAUAGACGUUCCUGGCCUGAUACUAGAGACAGAGUGUGGGCCUCGUAAAACUUCGACUCUCUGGGCAGAGAGGACAAGGAGAAAAGCGUGAGAUAAUAGAUCAUUAAACCGAAAGAGAUUGCGGUAUGUCUGGAAAUGACUGAGCCACCUUGAGUUAGGAAGAUGAGGCUUUCCAUUAGAGUGAACUUGAAAGCUAUGCGGAAAACCAUCAGUAGAAAAAUGAAAAGGUGCAUUUUAGCAAACCUGACUUUUGUUGCCUGAGAGCUUCAUGCUCCUUUUACAGAGAGAACGUAUAUAAAAAUACUGUGAUAAAGAUAAUGCAUUUACCAGACCUACUGAAGACUCUCUGGCGGAAGUAUUUGCUCCUCAAGAUUUCAGAUUUUUUUGUUCUUCGGCCCACGAGGAAGGUUAUCCCUCGAGAUUUUCGUCGAGGGUAGUCUUAGAGGUUGCCUUUCUGUCCCCGGUCGAGAAGACGAUAAGAGGUAGCACAUGGGUGAAGAGCUAAUGCAGAGUUCGACUCACGUGAAAGAUCUUUUUUCUUUUCCAUUUUUUAAAUGGAAAACCACGGUCUCUUAACUGCAGCUCGUUUCCUUUCCUAUAAUAUCAUAUACAUUGUCUUCCAUUUUUUGAGUUCUUCUGUCUUACCUCAGCUCCUGUAAGACGACAGUAUCAGGAGAUGAUGAAAAGGAGGCACUUGGAUCUUCCAGUUACACAAAGAAAAAGGCAGGAUUAGGUGUCCGACUGGUUGUUAAUAAUAACUUGAAAAUGUGAGUGCCACUGGGCUGUGAGUAUUUUCUGAAGUUCAUCAUUUUGGCAAUUUAAUGUGAGAUAUUUUAUAGGGAAGGGGCACUUGGAGAAGAAGCGGCUCUAACUCCAUCUCGUGUUGGUGGUAAUCACGUUUGUCACUCACCUGCUUGGACCGCUAAACCCUUCAGGAGCCUGAUUGUAGCAGCCUCCUGUUAAGUGGAAAAAAGUCUUCCCUGCUUCUUAGCAAAUCAUGGUAAACAUGUCAACACAUUAUGGGAUGUGGUACACUUUUGAAUAUGUGAACAUCUGAUGAAGAGAUCUUUUUGAUCGGAACUUUUAUGUUGGUUCAAUAGGCAGGACUAGUUAUCUGCUUUGUUUACUUGUAGGUAUCUGAGACAGUUAUACACACAUGCUGGAAUUUAGGGUCAGCUCUCUGUGAAAAAAAUGGAAGCACAUUUAACGCAUGGGCUCUUGAAUCUCCUCCACCCCUCCUAGUAUUUUUAAAUGGGAGGUCCUGCCUCUAGGAUGGUGCCUAGAUAUUCUAAAAUAGAUACACUAAAUCCAGUACAAAAUGUGGUUAGAUUUUUUUUUUCCCUGGGUGUUUGCAGCACAUUUGUACAAGUUGUGAAAAGACUUGUUUUGCUGAAUUUUCAUUAGCACAUUCUUAGUGAGAUAGUAACAUUCAAUAUCACUGACAAAUAUAUUGGACAUCUCUAGUAAAAGUUUUUCUAAUUAUUGGAUUUGUAGAUACUCAGGUGUUGGCAGAAAUUCUAAAUAUGGAUAAUUUAAAGAAUCGGACUAUUACUGUUAUGACCCUAAUAUUCCAACUAAUAGUAACCACAGCUACACUUUCUGAGCACUCACCAUGUUCCAGGAAUUGUUCACGGUGCUUUUCCUACGUUACCUAAUUAAUCACAACAACCCUAUUAAGUAAGUACUACUGUUAUCCUCAUUUUAAAGAAACUGAGGCACUGAGAAGUUAACUCCUUUGCCCCAGGUUGUGUAACUAGUGAGUGGUGAAGCUGCAGUGUGAAUGAAAUCAGUGAAACUCUAUAACCGGUACUCUUUUUUUUUAAAAAAAUUUUAAAUUGAAAUAUAGUUGAUUUACAAUGUGUUAAUUUCUGCUGCACAGCAAAGUGAUUGAUUUAUGCAUAGAAACAUUCUUUAAAGAUUUUUUUCCAUUAUGGUUUAUCGUAGGACGUUGAAUGUAGUUGCCUGGGUCGUACAGUAGGACUUUGUUGCUUAUCUACAUAUAGCUAUGUAUAGUAGCUUACCUGGACUAACCCAGCCUCCUAUCCCCAGCUCCCUCCCCCUUGGCAACCACAAGUCUAUGCUCUGUGUUUUGAGUUGCUUUCUGUUUCAUAGGUAGGUUCAUUCUGGUCAUAUUUUAGAGUCCACAUGUCAGUAAUACUAUAUGGUAUUUGUCUUUCUCUUUCUGAUUUACUUACUUAGUAUAACAAUCUCUAGGUCCAUCAAGGUUACUGCAAAUGGCAUUAUUUUUUAUGGAUGAGUAGUAUUCCAUUAUACACAUGUACCACAUCUUCUUUAUCCAUUCUCCUGUCAAUGAACUUUUAGGGGAGUUCCUCUUUUGGUGCGGUGGGAAUGAAUUCGAGUAGUAUCCAUGAGAAUGCAGGUUCAAUCCCUGGCCUCACUCAGUGGGUCGGAGAUCCAGUGUUGCUGUGAGCUGUGGCGUAGGUGGCAAAUGUGGCUUGGAUCUGGCAUUGCUGUGGCUGAGGCAAAGGCGGACAGCUGUAAUUUUGAGUUGAUCCCUAGCCUGGGAACUUCCAUAUGCUACUGGUGUGGCCCNAAAAAAAAAAAAAAAAAAAAAAAAAAAAAAAA